Molecule: long non-coding RNA, 1028 nt
Filed under: Strigops habroptila (Kakapo)
Lineage: Eukaryota; Metazoa; Chordata; Aves; Psittaciformes; Psittacidae
Description: lncRNA (ENSSHBG00005000492.1)
Source: RNAcentral
UUCUGUUAUAUAAAAUGUUUUAAUAAAUUGAAUCCAAGAUAAAAAUUGCCUUACUUCUUAGCAAAGUCAGAGCUUUCAAAAUUCCUGUGUGUGGUUGAGAAACCAAGUUGAAGCAUGAACACUUGCUGUUAAACAGCACUGCACAGAAGGCACUGCUAGUAUGGACCUCCCGUUAGCACCAUCACACAGUGAUGGUGAAGUUUGUCUUCAAGGAUACUGGUGGUGCCCUGAGAGCAGCUUUGGGACUGUGGGCUUUCCCUGAAGAAUCUGUACAGUUAAAACUUUCUGAAGGUUUUGUACAUGUUGCCAAGAAUCAAAUGUUUGGGAUGAUAAUGACCAAGAGAUUAGAGAUGAAAACAUUUCUUUAUUUUUCAAUUUUGCUUGCUUUGUACAUCUGGCAGUGUCAGGGUGUUGUCCAUACCACUAUGUCCCCUGUUUAGUUACUCAUGCUCUCCAUUCAAAAGCACGUCUGAUUGAUUAACCAAGAGCAGGGAGCAGUUCUAUUAGCACAUCCACAUGGCUCUGCAAACCACAACAUUUCUAACACAGGUACAGAAUAAUUAUUCACAGACUGAAGUUAGAAGCCAGCAAUUAGAAAACCUUUUAGAGAUUGAGCUGUAAUCAUAGCCUAAUUUUGCUGGAUGAGUUUCAAUUUUUUGAGACCCUUACAUCAGUUUUACCUGACAAAACAUUAAUAAAAUUAAAUACUGAUCUUCAGAUCUUCAAAACCAGAUGCCAUACAACACGACAAGAAGGAAAGUGACACACAAGACAAUUCCAACAUAAGGUGUUGAAGGAAUGUGUCAGUUGGGAUUAAGUAAUAGUGGCUAAGACCACCUCAGGUACAACCUCCUAACUAACUCAUUUCCCUGUUUCCCAACCCAAAUAGAAAACAAAAGCCAAACCAAAAAUCAAUUCAAAUCUAAAAAACCAUGGAUUUGACAGGAAACAGAACAUUUUGGGUUUGAGUAUUUUAAAUGCUUCUGAAUUCGAAUAAACUUAGUAAUGCAAUGUUCUGUCAAAAUAAA